This is a long non-coding RNA of Hippocampus zosterae (dwarf seahorse), 595 nucleotides long. RefSeq lists it as uncharacterized. Lineage: Eukaryota; Metazoa; Chordata; Actinopteri; Syngnathiformes; Syngnathidae. The transcript is spliced from 2 exons. The record is from RefSeq and is a predicted model, not a curated record.
CAGCAAUAAUGAGCGUGCUAACAAGUUGAAAGUAGUCCUAAAACAGGCUGGUCAACUGUAAUGCAUAGCGCAAGAUAAUAUUAGUUCGCUAAACGUACAUUGUAUGAACGACAUAUUAAGGUUAUUGUAACCGUCUUAACAAUGGUGUAGACCGAGUAUCCUCCACACAUUUUGCCAUUUAUGGCACAACUUGAGCCAGAAGCAUGAAUGGAAACUACAGUUGCACAUUAGACUGCAUUACAAGUUGCUGUAGUCUGACCAUUGUAAAAUUUGAGUGCAAGCCAACCGAGUUCGGAGUGCACCGAGGCCAAUAACCUCUGGUGGACACAAGGCACCACAUGCCCGUUGUGAAAUAAGAAGGAAGGAACAGUACCUGACCACGAACACGAACCGCUCCGUGAUGGUGUUCACCCAACGGACCAGCAACACAAUCGGGACGACAACAGAAGCAGGAAGUUGCACGUUGACGUUAGCAAGCGGUUGCUCGCGGCAACGUGGGGAGCAAAGGUGCGAAGGCUAAAGGCCAGGCGAGCUGACAGGUCAGCAUUCAAGCCAUGAGAGGGAAUCGCGUGAGGCAAUACUUAAUGGAGGCAAA